Molecule: ribosomal RNA, 253 nt
Filed under: uncultured bacterium
Lineage: Bacteria
Description: partial 16S ribosomal RNA
Rfam family: Bacterial small subunit ribosomal RNA
Source: RNAcentral
UACGAAGGGGGCUAGCGUUGCUCGGAAUCACUGGGCGUAAAGCGCACGUAGGCGGAUUGUUAAGUCAGGGGUGAAAUCCUGGAGCUCAACUCCAGAACUGCCUUUGAUACUGGCGAUCUUGAGUCCGGGAGAGGUGAGUGGAACUGCGAGUGUAGAGGUGAAAUUCGUAGAUAUUCGCAAGAACACCAGUGGCGAAGGCGGCCUCCUGGUCCGGCUCUGACGCUGAGGCGCGAAAGCGUGGGGAGCAAACAGG